GGCGACCGACACCACGCCGUCUGUAAAAGAAAUCAGAUGAGUAGGAGGACGUGGCGGCUGUGUCGAAGCAUGCGUGCAGACGCGUGUGGAACGGCCGCUAGUGCAGAUCUUGGUGGUAGUAGCAAAUAUUCAAGCGAGAUCCUUGAAGGGCGAAGCGGGGAAGGGUUCCACGCGAACAUUGAUUGGGCGUGGGUGAGUCGUUCCUAAGCCGAGUGGCAAUUGCUAAGUAGCGGCGAAAGGGAAGCGGGUUGACAUUCCCGCACACGGAUGUGGAGGCGGCGACGCUUUAUUGAGGGCGAACACGCUGGCGGUGGCGCUGGGCAGAGUUUUCUUUUCUGUUUGACCGCUGAUGCAUGCGGUGUGGAAUCCGCUUGUCGGGAGAAACACGCGUGUACGGGCAGAGCGCCGGGGCUUUUCCGGCGUCCAGCUCGCCACCGACGGCCCUUGAAACUUUGCCUGCUGGUAUUUUUAUAAUAAAGAUCCACGCCGUGGCGUACCGAUCACCGCAUCAGGUCCCCAAGGUGAACAGCCUCUGCUCAAUAUGAAAAAUGCAGGUAAGGGAAGUCGGCAAAUUGGACCCGUAACUUUGGGAAAAGGGUUGGCUCUAGUGCUGCGUGGGAGUGGUUGUCGGGUGUUGGCGUUUAUUGGCUUGCUGUGCGAGCGCUUGAGCUAGCGUUUCGGCGUUGGCACUGGUGUUUAAUCGGCGAGCUGGGAUUCGCCACGCUCGACGACGCC
RNAcentral lists this ribosomal RNA (735 nucleotides) under Aeodes nitidissima. Its description in RNAcentral is "partial 28S ribosomal RNA". It matches the Rfam family "Eukaryotic large subunit ribosomal RNA", at positions 1336 to 2075 of the family's 3401-position model. Lineage: Eukaryota; Rhodophyta; Florideophyceae; Halymeniales; Halymeniaceae. The record is from RNAcentral.